AGGCUGAAACUCGCCUACAUGAAGCUGGAGUUGCUAGUAAUCGCGAAUCAGCAUGUCGCGGUGAAUACGUUCCCGGGCCUUGUACACACCGCCCGUCACACCAUGAGAGUUGGCAAUACCCAACGUACGUGAUCUAACCCGCAAGGGAGGAAGCGUCCUAAGGUAGGGUCGGCGAUUGGGGUGAAGUCGUAACAAGGUACC
RNAcentral lists this ribosomal RNA (201 nucleotides) under uncultured bacterium. RNAcentral's name for it is "partial 16S ribosomal RNA". It matches the Rfam family "Bacterial small subunit ribosomal RNA", at positions 1302 to 1500 of the family's 1533-position model. The record is from RNAcentral.